Molecule: ribosomal RNA, 443 nt
Filed under: uncultured bacterium
Lineage: Bacteria
Description: partial 16S ribosomal RNA
Rfam family: Bacterial small subunit ribosomal RNA
Source: RNAcentral
CCUACGGGUGGCAGCAGUGGGGAAUAUUGGGCAAUGGGCGCAAGCCUGACCCAGCAACGCCGCGUGAAGGAAGAAGGCUUUCGGGUUGUAAACUUCUUUUCUCAGGGACGAAGCAAGUGACGGUACCUGAGGAAUAAGCCACGGCUAACUACGUGCCAGCAGCCGCGGUAAUACGUAGGUGGCAAGCGUUAUCCGGAUUUACUGGGUGUAAAGGGCGUGUAGGCGGGCUGACAAGUCAGAUGUGAAAUCCGGGGGCUCAACCCCCGAACUGCAUUUGAAACUGUUGGUCUUGAGUAUCGGAGAGGCAGGCGGAAUUCCUAGUGUAGCGGUGAAAUGCGUAGAUAUUAGGAGGAACACCAGUGGCGAAGGCGGCCUGCUGGACGACAACUGACGGUGAGGCGCGAAAGCGUGGGGAGCAAACAGGAUUAGAUACCCGGGUAGUC